UUGUUCCUGACUAUAAAUUACAGAAGAAUGAAUUUAAGUGUAAGCUGCUUUAUGUCUGCGGUGAGCCUACUCUCCUGGUGUCUGUACCAGUAGAAUCUGAGGAGCCAACUGAAAAUGCUGAAGAAGCUUCAGGGGAAAAGGAAGAAGAUGAAACUGAAGAACUGGNNNNNNNNNNGAAUCUGGAUUCUGAAGAGGGCUCCCUGUUUUAGGAUUGCAGUUGCAAAGCCCAGAAGACAGAAGUGGACAGAGGAAGAAGAAAUGGUUUCCAGUAGUUUUCUCAGUUUUUGUAGUCUAGAAAAUAGGUUUUUGUUCUACAUUUCAUUAUACAAAGAUGUCACCAACAGACAUCUGAUUACAUAAGGUUCUUUAUAG
Molecule: long non-coding RNA, 372 nt
Filed under: Cricetulus griseus (Chinese hamster)
Lineage: Eukaryota; Metazoa; Chordata; Mammalia; Rodentia; Cricetidae
Description: lncRNA (ENSCGRG00000025456.1)
Source: RNAcentral